AGCGAACGCUGGCGGCAGGCCUAACACAUGCAAGUCGAACGAACUCUUCGGAGUUAGUGGCGGACGGGUGAGUAACACGUGGGAACGUGCCUUUUGGUUCGGAAUAACUCAGGGAAACUUGUGCUAAUACCGAAUGUGCCCUUCGGGGGAAAGAUUUAUCGCCAUUAGAGCGGCCCGCGUCUGAUUAGCUAGUUGGUGAGGUAACGGCUCACCAAGGCGACGAUCAGUAGCUGGUCUGAGAGGAUGACCAGCCACACUGGGACUGAGACACGGCCCAGACUCCUACGGGAGGAAGCAGUGGGGAAUCAUGCGCAAUGGGCGAAAGGCUGACGCAGCCAUGCCGCGUGAAUGAUGAAGGUCUUAGGAUUGUAAAAUUCUUUCACCGGGGACGAUAAUGACGGUACCCGGAGAAGAAGCCCCGGCUAACUUCGUG
RNAcentral lists this ribosomal RNA (433 nucleotides) under uncultured bacterium. Its description in RNAcentral is "partial 16S ribosomal RNA". It matches the Rfam family "Bacterial small subunit ribosomal RNA", at positions 29 to 507 of the family's 1533-position model. The record is from RNAcentral.